This 869-nucleotide ribosomal RNA is filed under the name uncultured bacterium. RNAcentral's name for it is "bacterial SSU rRNA". It matches the Rfam family "Bacterial small subunit ribosomal RNA", at positions 1 to 860 of the family's 1533-position model. The record is from RNAcentral.
AGAAGUUUGUUCCUGGCUCGGAUUGAACGCGGGCCGUUAUGCUUAACACCAGCAAGUCGAACGGCAGCACGAAGAGAGUUUACUCUCUUCGGUGGCGAGUGGCGGACGGGUGAGUAAUGCAUAGGAAUCUACCUUUUAGUCUAGGAUAACUACCCGAAAGGGUGGCUAAUACUGGAUGUGGACUACGGUUUAAAGCAGGGGACCUUCGGGCCUUGCGCUAAGAGAUGAGCCUAUGUGGGAUUAGCUAGUUGGUGAGGUAAUGACUCACCAAGGCGACGAUCUCUAGCUGGUUUGAGAGGAUGAUCAGCCACACUGGGACUGAGACACGGCCCAGACUCCUACGGGAGGCAGCAGUGGGGAAUAUUGGACAAUGGGUGAAAACCUGAUGGAGCAAUGCCGCGUGAAUGAAGAAGGUCUUCGGAUCGUAAAGUUCUGUUAUUAGAGAAGAACAAGUCAAGGAGUAACUGUCUUGACUUUGACGGUACCUAACCAGAAAGUCACGGCUAACUACGUGCCAGCAGCCGCGGUAAUACGUAGGUGACAAGCGUUGUCCGGAAUUAUUGGGCGUAAAGGGAGCGCAGGCGGUUGGAAUAGUCUGAUGUGAAAGCCCACGGCUUAACCGUGGAAGGUCAUUGGAAACUGUCCAACUUGAAUACAGAAGAGGUAAGUGGAAUUCCAAGUGUAGCGGUGAAAUGCGUAGAUAUUUGGAGGAACACCAGUGGCGAAGGCGACUUACUGGUCUGUAAUUGACGCUGAGGCUCGAAAGCGUGGGUAGCAAACAGGAUUAGAUACCCUGGUAGUCCACGCCGUAAACGAUGAGUGCUAAGUGUUAGGGGGUUUCCGCCCCCUUAGUGCUGGAGUUAACGCAU